UUUAUGGAGAGUUUGAUCCUGGCUCAGGAUGAACGCUGGCGGCGUGCCUAAUACAUGCAAGUCGAGCGAACAGAUAAGGAGCUUGCUCCUUUGACGUUAGCGGCGGACGGGUGAGUAACACGUGGGUAACCUACCUAUAAGACUGGAAUAACUCCGGGAAACCGGGGCUAAUGCCGGAUAACAUGUUGAACCGCAUGGUUCUA
This 203-nucleotide ribosomal RNA is filed under the name Staphylococcus delphini. RNAcentral describes it as "partial 16S ribosomal RNA". It matches the Rfam family "Bacterial small subunit ribosomal RNA", at positions 1 to 198 of the family's 1533-position model. The record is from RNAcentral. RNAcentral also lists the same sequence under 1 other name. Lineage: Bacteria; Bacillati; Bacillota; Bacilli; Caryophanales; Staphylococcaceae.